This 117-nucleotide non-coding RNA is filed under the name Chlorocebus sabaeus (green monkey). Lineage: Eukaryota; Metazoa; Chordata; Mammalia; Primates; Cercopithecidae. The record is from Rfam by way of RNAcentral.
GCCGGGCACGGUGGCUUGUGCCUGUAAUCCCAACACUUUGGGAGGCUGAGGUGGGUGGAUUGCCUGAGCUCAGGAGUUCGAGACCAGCCUGGGCAACAUGGUGAAACCCCAUCUCUG